Molecule: long non-coding RNA, 2800 nt
Organism: Macadamia integrifolia
Lineage: Eukaryota; Viridiplantae; Streptophyta; Magnoliopsida; Proteales; Proteaceae
Exons: 2
Source: RefSeq, a predicted model, not a curated record
CGGGUUGGAGUCCCUCCUCUAAUGAAACAAUCCAGAUCCAUCGUCCAUCAUUUCUCUGCCCAAUGAAGAGUGGAUAAAAAGCAUCUCAUAGCUAACACCUUUGUCAAUAAACAAUCCGCUUAACAGCAUAUCAUUCUUUAAAAAAAAUUUCCUUCAAAGGGGCAGAAAAGUUAUCCAAAUUGGGUUACUGAUUUAUGGGUCUCGGGUUACCCAAUUACCCAUUUUGUUCCGUGCGGGCAGGCGCAGGCCCGAGGCUUCAGUUAAGCACUGUGAACGAUCCAAAUUACCCUCCUAAGAAUCCAUGGAAAAGAAACAAGAAAUGGUUGAUUCUGAAGGGAGUUCUUAUAUCAGUAUUUGAAAUUCUAAUGCUCCGAUUAAAAACCCUUGCGGAUUUCUCUCAAAUCAACCACAGUUAUGGAUUUACAGGAAUUUAAGCUUCUCUUUUGCAAUUUUUUUUUUCGAAGUAUAUAUUUCUUCAUGUAUUUUGGUGGAGUUAUUAGGUUUGAAUGUUUCCUAUGGCUAUGGGGAAAUGGAUUCUGAGGCUUAUUAUUCAAGGGUUUUCUAAACAGAUUGGGGUGCUUCCGAUCCUGACCUGAAAAUGUGACAGAGAAGGUCAAUUCUAAACCUUGUCUAUUACAUGUUUGAUUUUAAGUGUCAAAGAAAGUUGGCAUUGGCUGUCUCAAUUUUGAUUCGAUUGCUUAUGCACCUUGAAUUACCCGUUACAGUUAUGAACCAAAAACCUUAUACUGCAUUGUCAAUCGACUUUUUUUUUUUUUAAACCUUUUGCCAAAUUCUAAAACUAGGACGACUUUGGACAACAGGGCAAUGGCCAAUGAUAGUGAGUUUAUGCAGAAUUAGGAGCUUAUUGAUGUUGUUGAAUCAUUUGUUCUUGAUUAUUUUUUCUUCUUUAGUAGUUAAUCUUUGUAUGUUGUAUGCAAUUGGAAAUGAGAUGGUUUGCUUAUACUGAAUUCCUAUAUUCGAAUGCCAGAAAAAGGGAGAGGAAAACAUUUCAGGCUUGGAAGUUUGCGAGAUAGGAUCCGCUGCUCGUACGAUCACCUAGUUGUACGAGUCAGCAUCCAACACCUGUCCUUCUUUCUGCCAUUACAAGGAUAAAAAGGGGUAUAUUUGGAAAUAAAAAGAACAGAUGUUGGAUGCUGACUCAUACAACCAGGUGAUCAUACGAGCAGCUGAUCAAUUUUCAAGUUUUCCAAAGGAGUGGGUAUAGUGGAUGAAGUUUCAUGACAACAUAGAUAACACAGUGAUAUCAUUGUUGUCCAGCAAAGUGGCUAGUAGGAACUUCUUCCAAUUAGUUGGGGGUGGUUGGUGGAUUUCACAUGUUUGCUCUUUUAUCUACCAAUCCAAAUGAGAACAUUGUAAAUCCAAGAUUGAACUCAUCCUCUCACUAAAUUGCUUCCUCUGAGUUGAAAAUUUAUGGAUUAUGAAGAUCUCCCUCUUCAUGGUUUUGUGGAAAUAUGAUCAUCACAUCAAACUCUUUCAAGACAGCUGUAUAUAUUUUGGCAGUUGUAUUGAGUAUUGUACACAUAUUAAAAUUAUGCUUCUGAUGCCUCCACUGGAAUUCUUGGUUCAUAUAAACAAAUCCAAUAGUCAUCUCUACUUAGUUUUCAUAACAGACCAAUAGGUCUCUCUAACCUGUCUCCAUAUGAUAUAGUUCAUAUCUGCAAGUGGCACAAAGAUCCUAUCACCUUCAGGUUCUUGCCCUGUUUAAUUACCUGUAUCCAAUCAAGGAGGCCCAAUUCUAUGAAAUAAAUAUGGGCUUAUGCUUGGAUUUAAGGUGCAUAUACUUUCAUGGAUGCUCUGUAUAUAUAUGAUGAAUCUAUGUCUUUUCAAAUAUACUAAAUUCUGUACUUCAUAGAUCCCAACCCUCAUGCCAUGAGGAAAGGGAGAAACAAUACAACUGAACAAGAAGAAACAAAAACUUCUAUUAACUCUAUACAAUUCUAAUAAUGACUUCAUCUCAGCUGUACUACUUGAUCUAAAAAAUAUUGGGAACAUCUCUUGAAGCAGAGAAAGGUGUGGUUCGCCUUGAGCUUAAAACAGGGGAUGAGUCCUUUUUGCUGUGAACUUGCUCUGUUUGGAGUGCUGCGCCUUUGAAUUUGAUGUUUCCUUCCUGUGCAGGGGCUGUUGUUUCAUGAACAGUUUCAGCAGUCAUAUCUCUGCCCACAGGCAACUGAAAAGGAGGAAGCAAAUCAUUGGGGAAGAAGUUGCAGUUGAGGGUUCCUUCACAAGUAACUGUUUUCUGGGUAACAACUUGCUUUUGGGUCCUAUAUCCAUUGACAGGCAACUGGUGAGGAUGAAGAAAAUCUGUAGGAAAGAAGUUGUAGAGAAGGUUGGACAUUGAUAGUUGCAGCAGAGAAAGCUUAUGAGGAGGAAGAGACUUGAAUUGAAUCGUUUGGUUUGAAAUGUCUAGACCUUCCACUGGGUUUAUAUAAAGAGAGAGAGAGAGAGAGAGAGAGAGAGAGAGAGGCGUGUUGGCGUGGGCUCCAAGGUACUUUCAUUGAUGGUUGUGGAGAGGACUCCAUGGAAUUGGAACCUUUCGACAGAGUACAGAGCAUUUGCUGUUUUCUUAUUAUUAUUAUUAUUAUUAUUUUUUUUUUUUGGUAAAGAGAGCAUAUGCUGCUUGCCAUCUAGAAAGUAUAGGAAAGUCAGCAGAAAGCCUGAAACGCUAUUAGCCUUCUUCCUAACGUGUUUUCAUUUCUUUAUUUAUUCCUAGUAUUUUUCACCCCUUCGAGGUUUGGCCACUUGAGCCCAAAAACAAAGAAAGAAGGGUUUUGAAUCUUUC